GUGUACCCGCGUCCACUGCCGGUUCUGAGCGCGCCGUACGCGCCCACUGACAGCUGCUCACUACGUUUUGUUAGAG
This 76-nucleotide small RNA is filed under the name Xanthomonas oryzae pv. oryzicola. RNAcentral's name for it is "sX9 sRNA". It matches the Rfam family "Xanthomonas sRNA sX9". The record is from RNAcentral. Lineage: Bacteria; Pseudomonadati; Pseudomonadota; Gammaproteobacteria; Lysobacterales; Lysobacteraceae.